Long non-coding RNA from Drosophila ananassae, 1584 nucleotides. RefSeq lists it as uncharacterized. NCBI's taxonomy places the organism in Eukaryota, Metazoa, Arthropoda, Insecta, Diptera, Drosophilidae. The transcript is spliced from 2 exons. The record is from RefSeq and is a predicted model, not a curated record.
AGUUCAAUGGGAAGAUGAGCGAUUACUGAGUCUAAUAAGUACGAUUAAAUUUGGAAUGGAAAUAAUUACAUAUGUCCACAUAUCCGUAAAAUAAAAAUAAUUUUUUCCUAAGUCCUAUAAAUGCAUUACUCAAAAUAGAAUUAUACCAAAAGAAACAGUAAAUAAACAUGCCCAAAUACUCGUUAAGUCUUAAACGAAGCUAGACUAUUGGCGCAUAUAAAUUGCGGAGAAGGAACAGUCCAUCAAGGCGGAGCUGCGCGACACCCGGGUAAGGCUUCUUAGAACAGGGGGUCGUGAGGUACGCUACGUCCUUCAUUAGAGACUGGACAGAAUUUCUAUCCCAGCCCCGAGCCUGGCAGACUCUCGGGUCGAAUAACACCUUAGUCCGGCCGGGGGUAAGAUGGUAUUUUGCGAUGGGUAGUGUGUGAGUACCACAAUGUGGAAAUAGGAAUUAUGUGAGGCUACAUAAUAGAGGUGGCAACUCACGCGCAUCGUCUGUACCAUUUAUGGCUCGGAUACCAGCUAACUGUUUGGCGCUGUUUAUUUAUCGACUCAGGAGGUGAUCCUAAUAAAGAAUCAAUAUACCUUAUAGAGCGGGUAUGUCUCGGUCUUUGCGUUGCACACUUUUGACCACUUUUUAAAACCAAGCACACCCAUAUCUUUAUUAACCAUGGUGGAUAUAUGGUCGGUAAAUUUAAGUUUCAAAUCUAAUAGGACACCCAGAUCGUUAACCUGAGUUAAUCGGAAGUUAUUAACGAAAGUACAUAGCAUGGUGAGGUCUAUGACAUGAGUUUACAUUUCGAUCCAUUAAACCUUAGGUUAUUUGCUAAACACCAAUUUUAAAAUUUAUCCAAAUCGGAUUGAAGUCUAGAUUGGGCACUAGCACUAACCACACAACAUAUAGACCUACCAUACAACAUACAAAGAAAUUAACGAAAACAUGUAGUGUGUGGAUUUCCAACAGGGCACGCAUGCGAAGAGCUGUCAUAAGAUAGACAUAGAAAAGCUUAAAAGCUUAUCACCGAAUAUCAUUGAUCUGCGGUCACCUUGGAUAAGUGAACGAAACAUCACGCGAUUCUUAUCUAUGUUUUUGCAUAUCGAGAUAAGAGUGCCGUUAUGUAAAAGCUUUUUCUCUAGCAUAGUUAGGGCUAGAUUUGCAUAGGAGAGCUUUGACAUUUUUUGACGAGCUUGAAAGCAAUACGGCUGCAAUUGUAAGCCAAGUUUAAUAAAUAUUUAAAUUGUGCUGAAAAUUAAAUAAAAUCAAAUCCCAGACGAAUUAUCGGGAUUCAUUUAAUAAGUGUUUAGUUAUUUUAUGCCAGGUAUGUUAUAAAUUCAGUGCAGUGCAGUUUUUUUUCAUGAAUUUAUUACCCCCCAGUGCCACGUGCCAGUGCGGCUAGUACCAAAUUAUCACCCUAUUAUGCAACCGGCUAUCUGGAGGCCGAAAUGGAUGAAAUAUGGGAAUUAACUAGUGCAGAGAUUCGACGCGGGAUCGCAAUCUUUUGAUAAAUAUUUUUUUGGAUUCGACGACAAGCCCUUUUCGCUACACGGAGAGAAAACUCCAGCGAAUUAUUGAUAAAUUUGUAA